Molecule: ribosomal RNA, 116 nt
Filed under: Ananas comosus (pineapple)
Lineage: Eukaryota; Viridiplantae; Streptophyta; Magnoliopsida; Poales; Bromeliaceae
Source: RNAcentral
GGAUGCGAUCAUACCAGCAAUAAAGCACCGGAUCCCAUCAGAACUUCGCAGUUAAGCGUGCUUGGCAGAGUAGUACUAGGAUGGGUGACCCCUGGGAAGUCCUCGUGUUGCAUCCC